GCAAUAGAUAAUGUGACUGUGAUCCCUAAUGAACACCUCUUCGAUGGCCAGGGUGGAUUUGGCUGAUCUUCCUGGCUGGGCAAAUGUCCCUUUUCUCCUGCAUUGCUUCAUGUGUGUCCCUCCACGGCUGCACAUUCGUGUUUGCUCAAAGAGGACAGCCUUCCCCAAGUGAGAAGGACCAAUCUUCAGGCAGGGCUAAACACGCAGCUGAGCUCUCCUGCUAGACUCUCCAAACAAGCUCUCGAGACCCACUUGUAGAAGAAUGUAGACUAGCCCAAUUUCUAAGAUUCCAGACACGAUCAAGUAAGAGGCUGCUUGUGACAGCCUGGCUUUCUUU
Cavia porcellus (domestic guinea pig) is the source of this 337-nucleotide unclassified non-coding RNA. Its record names the gene 7SK. It matches the Rfam family "7SK RNA". Rfam says of the family: 7SK was discovered as an abundant small nuclear RNA in the mid-70s but a possible function has only recently been suggested. Lineage: Eukaryota; Metazoa; Chordata; Mammalia; Rodentia; Caviidae. The record is from Ensembl.